CAAUCCCGGCCGAGUGCCCACAUCACCAGCCCCUGACGCAGCGGCGGCAAGGAGUCAGGCGGCACGAGGACAGCCCCGGAGUGCCGAAAGUCCCCAGCCCGCUUUCCUCCGGUGAAGACGUAGCUGCGGGUGGCUGUGCUGGUGGCGGCGGCGUCCAAGAUGUCGACCAAGAAUUUCCGAGUCAGUGACGGUGACUGGAUUUGCCCUGACAAAAAAUGUGGAAAUGUAAACUUUGCCAGAAGAACCAGCUGUAAUAGAUGUGGUCGGGAGAAAACAACUGAGGCUAAGAUGAUGAAAGCAGGGGGCACUGAAAUAGGAAAGACACUUGCAGAAAAGAGCCGAGGUCUAUUUAGUGCUAAUGACUGGCAGUGUAAAACUUGCAGUAAUGUGAAUUGGGCAAGAAGAUCAGAGUGUAACAUGUGUAAUACUCCAAAGUAUGCUAAGUUAGAAGAAAGAACAGGAUAUGGUGGCGGUUUUAAUGAAAGAGAAAAUGUUGAAUAUAUAGAAAGAGAAGAAUCUGAUGGUGAAUAUGAUGAGUUUGGACGUAAAAAGAAAAAAUACAGAGGGAAGGCAGUUGGUCCAGCAUCUAUUUUAAAGGAAGUUGAAGAUAAAGAAUCUGAGGGAGAAGAAGAGGAUGAGGAUGAAGAUCUUUCUAAAUAUAAAUUGGAUGAGGAUGAGGAUGAAGAUGAUGCUGAUCUCUCAAAAUAUAAUCUUGAUGCCAGUGAAGAAGAAGAUAGUAAUAAAAAGAAAUCUAAUAGACGAAGUCGCUCAAAGUCUCGAUCUUCACAUUCACGAUCUUCAUCACGCUCAUCCUCCCCCUCAAGUUCAAGGUCUAGGUCCAGGUCCCGUUCAAGAAGUUCUUCCAGUUCGCAGUCAAGAUCUCGUUCCAGUUCCAGAGAACAUUCGAGAUCUCGUGGGUCGAAAUCAAGAUCCAGCUCCAGAUCCCACAGGGGCUCUUCUUCCCCACGAAAAAGAUCUUAUUCAAGUUCAUCAUCUUCUCCUGAGAGGAACAGAAAGAGAAGUCGUUCUAGAUCUUCAUCUGGUGAUCGCAAAAAAAGACGAACAAGAUCACGGUCACCCGAAAGGUGAUUGGUGAAAACACUAAACAACCCUGAGCCCAGGGCCAACCCCUCGGAACACCACUACUUUACCCAGGCACCACAGGUCAUCUUCUGGAUCAUCCCAUUCUGGUUCCCGUUCAAGUUCAAAAAAGAAAUAAUGUAUUAAAAUUUACAUCUUAAAAAAAAAAUCCAGUACAGUGCAUGAAGCAUAUUUUUUAAGAAGUUGGUGUCUUACUUGGUCAAAAGUGCUAAGUCUCCUAGUAGAGGUGCAUGCCUUUCAUUGCUUUUCAGAACAAUACAGCUGUGUUUAUUUGUGAAAUUAAAAGUAAAUAGUAUUUUAAGCCAUAAUAUCCCAAAAUAGAUGCUCUAUUUAUCGUUCUUUAUUUACAGUCAUUUUUUUUAAAAAACCAUCUCAUCUAUAACGAAGUACUUUGCUUCUUUUGGGUUUUUGUUUUUGUUUACUUUAUUUCCUAAUUUGAACUCUUGUUUUCCUCAUUUCCAAAUAGGAAUUGUUUAGUGACUUAUGGUUACCUUAGGCUUGCCUGAACUUUGGGCAUGGAGGCAAGACUGUGGUGAAGUAGUUGGAAACAGUCUGUUUAUGUUAAUCUGAGAAAAGGAGUCAGCCUAGGUAUGUUAACCUAUGUCAAAGUGAUUCUUCUCAGAAAAAGUUAAACUAGUUGUAAAACAGCCAACUAGAAACUUUAUUCUUAAAUUCCCUAUGCUAAGGGUGCCUUAGAAUUAUUCUGUCUUUUAUUCAGUUUUGCUUUUUGCACCACAUUUAAUGCAGAAAAAUCUUGUGAAUUGUAGAAGGAGAAUGGUGUUCCAUAUUUCUCACUCUGACACAUCAUUUGAGCAAGAAUAUCUAACAGUUCAUUUCUAAUCUGCUGAUAUGGUUGUCUGAUGAGGAAAACAUCUUAUGUUCAAAAUGUUUAUCUUACUAUUUUAAGAAGCUUUGUGUGAUGUCUUUUAAAAAUCCAUUAUCACACAUGAUAGGGUAGACAAAGCUAAAUUAUAGUUAAUAAAGAAAACUUCUGAAGUAUAGUUCUCUUUGGGUGAAAGACCAACAGAGACAUUGUUAAUUUAAGCAAACCUUUGCUGUGAGAUGUUUAACUUUAAACACUUAAUAAAAUUUUUUUGAGUAAUAAAUGAAUAUUUAUUUCUGCACAACACAAGCAGAAAUAAUUGUUCCUGUUCACUUGAAAUUACUUAUGGCUUAAAAUACUUUCAGAGUUUGUUUUAUUUCUCAAAAUUAAAAUCUGGUCACAAGCUUUAUUAUGUCUUUUGGUUUAAAAAACAAAAGGUUUCUCUUAACAGUAUCUUCAGUGACAAUGCAAGGUAAGUAUGUUAAGGAAGAUCAGCAGUUGUGCUUGAGGACUUUUUGUCAUGGGGAUCAAUACCCAUUAUUCUUGUUCUGUUUUUUGGGGGUUUUUUUGAACAGUAAUGUCUUCUGCAAUUAAAAACUAAAAUGCUUUAAGGCAUUUUGUAGACAGACCAAACAAAAUUAUAUUUGUUUCUUUAUUUUAAAAUGAGUGGUUUUUCUCUUCACUUGAUCUAAAGAUGAAAUCAAAAUAUCUUAUGUAGGAAUAUUUUGAUAAUAUUUUUACAAUGAACUUGCCCCUUGUUUUUUUUGUCUUAAUUUUCUUUCCUACAUUUACUGUAGUUUGCACAAGAACUUUUCUCUCUUGUAAUUGUGCCUCAGACUUCUUGAAAGUCCACCUCCUAAAAUGCCCAGAUGAUCUUUUAGAUUUUACAUGUUACUAUUGGUUUAUUCUUGUGCUUUCUGUAUUUAAACUUUGGCUGUACUAAAUAAAUGCAAGAUUAUAAAUUUAGCUAAUAGUUGUUUACAGACAAUUCAGAUGAUUAUGAUUUCAUUUGGUUUAACUAAACUGUAGUAGUCCAUAAGGAAAUGAUGCUGUAGACAAAUGUAAAUAAAGCUUGUGAGUCAAGCAUCAAGUGGUGUUUGUUAGAAAUAAAUUAGAAAUUUUAAA
Myotis daubentonii (Daubenton's bat) is the source of this 3049-nucleotide RNA transcript. It is a transcript of the gene named zinc finger RANBP2-type containing 2, with no coding region annotated. Lineage: Eukaryota; Metazoa; Chordata; Mammalia; Chiroptera; Vespertilionidae. The record is from RefSeq and is a predicted model, not a curated record.